GGACAACCUUCCGAAAGGGAGGCUAAUCCCGCGUAUAUCGGUUUCGGGCAUCCGAGAUCGAGGAAAGAUUCAUCGGAAGAGGAUGGGCAUGCGGCGCAUUAGCUAGACGGCGGGGUAACGGCCCACCGUGGCGACGAUGCGUAGGGGUUCUGAGAGGAAGGUCCCCCACACUGGUACUGAGACACGGACCAGACUCCUACGGGAGGCAGCAGUGAGGAAUAUUGGUCAAUGGGAGAGAUCCUGAACCAGCCAAGCCGCGUGAGGGAAGACGGCCCUAUGGGUUGUAAACCUCUUUUGUCGGAGAACAAAACCCGGGACGAGUCCCGGACUGCGUGUAUCCGAAGAAAAAGCAUCGGCUAACUCCGUGCCAGCAGCCGCGGUAAUACGGAGGAUGCGAGCGUUAUCCGGAUUUAUUGGGUCUAAAGGGUGCGUAGGCGGUCCGUUAAGUCAGCGGUAAAAUUGCGGGGCUCAACCCCGUCGAGCCAUUGAAACUGGCAGACUUGAGUUGGCGAGAAGUACGCGGAAUGCGCGGUGUAGCGGUGAAAUGCAUAGAUAUCGCGCAGAACUCCGAUUGCGAAGGCAGCGUACCGGCGCCAGACUGACGCUGAGGCACGAAAGCGUGGGGAUCGAACAGGAUUAGAUACCCUGGUAGUCCACGCAGUAAACGAUGAAUGCUGGUUGUCCGGGUCGAAUGAGAUCUGGGC
This 704-nucleotide ribosomal RNA is filed under the name uncultured bacterium. RNAcentral's name for it is "bacterial SSU rRNA". It matches the Rfam family "Bacterial small subunit ribosomal RNA", at positions 141 to 844 of the family's 1533-position model. The record is from RNAcentral.